AAACCUACCUUCUCAGCUCUGCGUCCUUCUCUGACACCCUUUAUUUUCCAAAUUCUCGAAUUCCUUAGAUCAAGUUUUCCCAAUUACUCAGAACGAGAAUUUGGAAUAUCGGAAACCAAACACGACCCCUCUGGUAAUUUGUAUUUGUGUCCAAUGAAUGUGCCUUUGAAUCAUUCUUGGAUCUUCAUUGUUUUCUUAUUUAUAUCCUUGAAUCGUCUUCAUCACAGAAUGUAGCUAUGAAGUAGCUUUAGAAUCUGGCAACUUUUUGUGCUUGUUUCAAUGUUCAUCAAAAUUUUCGAACAUAUUUUCAUGAAUCUUAGGGUUUUGUAGUUCGAUUUGGGAUACAAAUGUACAACUUUUGAGUUAGCAAUGGGAAAGAACCACAUUUUCGGAAGAGGGCGAUGAAGAUACUAUGCAGGCAGAUUAUGUGCCCAAUGACCGCCCAGCUUGUUGCUGCAGGUGGUUUUUGUGGUUGUAAAUGAUGUUUGCCUUACUCAUCUGAGUGUACUGUCUUCCUAUUCCUGUCCUUUUAUCUCUUCAUUUCAGCCCAGUUGUAAAACUCAAAAAUUGAUUGAAUUUGCAGUUGGUUCGAUAUUGUUAACUUGUUAGCUUGCAUGAUUCGG
Molecule: long non-coding RNA, 623 nt
Organism: Vitis riparia (riverbank grape)
Lineage: Eukaryota; Viridiplantae; Streptophyta; Magnoliopsida; Vitales; Vitaceae
Exons: 2
Source: RefSeq, a predicted model, not a curated record